GACGAACGCUGGCGGCGUGCUUAACACAUGCAAGUCGAACGGAAAGGCCCAGCUUGCUGGGUGCUCGCGUGGGGAACGGGGGAGUAACACGUGGGUGAUCUGCCUCUAACUUCGGGAUAAGCUUUGGGAACUGGGUGUAAUACCGGAGAGGGCAAUCGUUUAGGGUCGGUGGGGGAAGGAUUUUUCGGUUGGGGAUGAGCUCGCGGCUUAUCAGCUUGUUGGUGGGGUAGUGGCCUACCAAGGCGUCGACGGGUAGCCGGCCUGAGAGGGUGGGCGGCCACAUUGGGACUGAGAUACGGCCCAGACUCCUACGGGAGGCAGCAGUGGGGAAUAUUGCACAAUGGGCGGAAGCCUGAUGCAGCGACGCCGCGUGGGGGAUGACGGCCUUCGGGUUGUAAACCGCUUUCGACAGUGACGAAGCGUUGGUGACGGUACCUGGAUAAGAAGCACCGGCUAACUACGUG
This 464-nucleotide ribosomal RNA is filed under the name uncultured bacterium. RNAcentral's name for it is "partial 16S ribosomal RNA". It matches the Rfam family "Bacterial small subunit ribosomal RNA", at positions 28 to 507 of the family's 1533-position model. The record is from RNAcentral.